RNAcentral lists this unclassified non-coding RNA (727 nucleotides) under Hevea brasiliensis (rubber tree). The record is from RNAcentral. Lineage: Eukaryota; Viridiplantae; Streptophyta; Magnoliopsida; Malpighiales; Euphorbiaceae.
GGAUCAUCAGCUGUUUUACCAUGGAGAAGCACAUCAAAGGAUUCUGACCACUUCUUACAAGUGCGCCCUUGUGUUGAUCAUUCUCAGCCUGCAUGUUCAUNNNNNCAAGUUACCUUUGGUUCUGGCUAUGCAUUUGGAAAGGAGCAGCCUUUCAUUGAUCAAGGCUUGCUCACUAGACAGAAUACUUUGAAGCAGGGAAGUAAAAUGCCUAACACUUUUAAGUUGAAUCAGCUGGAGAAGAAAGAUGCUCUUUUUUUGUUGUUCUUCUAGUAGUGGAAGUAAACUGUUUUGGCUUAGUGUAGGCACUGAUGCCUCAAUUCUUCACACUGAACUUAAUUCUCCCAUAUAUGAUUGGAGAAUAUCUAUCAACUCUCCGUUGAAGUUGGAAAACCAACUUCCUUGCCCGGCUGAAUUCACAAUUUGGGAAAAAACGCAUGACGAGGGUUGCAUUGAGCGACAACAUGGAAUGAUCUCUUCACGCAGUGGUGUACAUAUAUACUCAGCAGAUAUCCAAAAACCAAUCUAUCUCACAUUGCUUGUUCAGGGUGGUUGGCUUUUAGAAAAGGACCCUGUUCUUGUUCUGGAUCUUCCUUCCAGUGAUCAUGUCUCAUCAUUCUGGAUGUUCCACCAGCAAAGUAAAAGGAGACUGCGUGUGAGCAUUGAACGAGAUAUGGGAGGAACCAUUGCUGCACCCAAAACAAUUAGGUUAUUUGUUCCUUACUGGAUA